This 484-nucleotide ribosomal RNA is filed under the name uncultured bacterium. RNAcentral describes it as "partial 16S ribosomal RNA". It matches the Rfam family "Bacterial small subunit ribosomal RNA", at positions 30 to 507 of the family's 1533-position model. The record is from RNAcentral.
AUUGAACGCUGGCGGCAGGCCUAACACAUGCCAGUCGAGCGGACGAAGGGAGCUUGCUCCUGGAUUCAGCGGCGGACGGGUGAGUAAUGCCUAGGAAUCUGCCUGGCAGCGGGGGAUAACGUCCGGAAACGGGCGCUAAUACCGCAUACGUCCUGAGGGAGAAAGGGGGGGAUCUUCGGACCUCACGCUAUCAGAUGAGCCUAGGUCGGAUUAGCUAGUUGGUGGGGUAAAGGCCUACCAAGGCGACGAUCCGUAACUGGUCUGAGAGGAUGAUCAGUCACACUGGAACUGAGACACGGUCCAGACUCCUACGGGAGGCAGCAGUGGGGAAUAUUGGACAAUGGGCGAAAGCCUGAUCCAGCCAUGCCGCGUGUGUGAAGAAGGUCUUCGGAUUGUAAAGCACUUUAAGUUGGGAGGAAAAGCAGUAAGUUAAUACCUUGCUGUUUUGACGUUACCAACAGAAUAAGCACCGGCUAACUUCGUG